GCCUAGCUGGCUCAGUCAUGAGAGCAUGUGACUCAUGAUCUCAUGGUUGUGAGUUCAAGCCCCACGUUGGGCA
Molecule: non-coding RNA, 73 nt
Organism: Canis lupus familiaris (dog)
Lineage: Eukaryota; Metazoa; Chordata; Mammalia; Carnivora; Canidae
Source: Rfam